GUUGAAGACAAUGAUCUGUCUGAGUGGUGGUGAUGGUAGUGGAUUCUCUGGCCUGAGAAAGGCAUAAAAGGCAAUGUGCAUGGCUGGUAAUGGCCGACUUGGUAGUAUAAUUGAAUGGUUGUAGAUCUAAUAGGUCCGAUAAGGAUGAACAGUUGGAUGGCUAUUGGUAAUCUCUGAGAGGAACGUGGGGGAAUGGAUUCCUGAAAACCUCUGAGUAUAUUCUUUUC
RNAcentral lists this long non-coding RNA (227 nucleotides) under Pelobates cultripes (western spadefoot toad). The record is from RNAcentral. Lineage: Eukaryota; Metazoa; Chordata; Amphibia; Anura; Pelobatidae.